Molecule: ribosomal RNA, 789 nt
Filed under: uncultured crenarchaeote
Lineage: Archaea; Thermoproteati; Thermoproteota
Description: bacterial SSU rRNA
Rfam family: Archaeal small subunit ribosomal RNA
Source: RNAcentral
AGGCAGACGGCUCAGUAACGCGUAGCUCACACUUCUAACCUAUGGACGGGAAUAACCUCGGGAAACUGAGUAUAAUGCCCGAUAGAACAUUAUGCCUGGAAUGGUUUAUGUUCCAAAUGAUUUAUCGCCGUAGGGUGGGACUGCGGCCUAUCAGUUUGUUGGUGAGGUAAUGGCCCACCAAGACUAUUACAGGUACGGGCUCUGAGAGGAGUAGCCCGGAGAUGGGUACUGAGACACGGACCCAGGCCCUAUGGGGCGCAGCAGGCGAGAAAACUUUGCAAUGUGCGAAAGCACGACAAGGUUAAUCCGAGUGGUUUCUGCUAAAGGAACCUUUUGUCGGUCCUAGAAACACCGAUGAAUAAGGGGUGGGCAAGUUCUGGUGUCAGCCGCCGCGGUAAAACCAGCACCUCAAGUGGUCAGGAUGAUUAUUGGGCCUAAAGCAUCCGUAGCCGGCUCUGUAAGUUUUCGGUUAAAUCUGUACGCUUAACGUACAGGCUGCCGGGAAUACUGCAGAGCUAGGGAGUGGGAGAGGUAGACGGUACUCGGUAGGAAGGGGUAAAAUCCUUUGAUCUAUUGAUGACCACCUGUGGCGAAGGCGGUCUACCAGAACACGUCCGACGGUGAGGGAUGAAAGCUGGGGGAGCAAACCGGAUUAGAUACCCGGGUAGUCCCAGCUGUAAACUAUGCAAACUCAGUGAUGCAUUGGCUUGUGGCCAAUGCAGUGCUGCAGGGAAGCCGUUAAGUUUGCCGCCUGGGAAGUACGUACGCAAGUAUGAAACUCAAAGGAAU